UCCCAAAGGGAAGGGGAAAGAAGGAUGACUGAGUCCUGACCUGCAUCCUGGCGUUGUUGUUUGUCUUAAAUGUAUUGAGUAGUGAUGUUCAUGGUGAUAUGUUGGAUUUGACUGUAUUGAAACUCAUGCUCCAGUUCAAAUGGGGAAACUAUCUCUAUCUCAAUUAGACGCCAUUUUCAUCUGUAACUCCUGUAAGUAACUAACUAAGUAAUUGUCUUGUCGAUCCGUUUACAAGUGAAAAAUAUUCAAAAAUGCGUCUGCCGGGAGUCGAACCCGGGUCUAUU
This 284-nucleotide long non-coding RNA is filed under the name Linum usitatissimum (flax). RNAcentral describes it as "long non-coding RNA (LUSI_LNC000832)". The record is from RNAcentral. Lineage: Eukaryota; Viridiplantae; Streptophyta; Magnoliopsida; Malpighiales; Linaceae.